Molecule: ribosomal RNA, 359 nt
Filed under: uncultured bacterium
Lineage: Bacteria
Description: bacterial SSU rRNA
Rfam family: Bacterial small subunit ribosomal RNA
Source: RNAcentral
GACGAACGCUGGCGGCGUGCUUAACACAUGCAAGUCGAGCGGAAAGGCCCUUUCGGGGUACUCGAGCGGCGAACGGGUGAGUAACACGUGAGUAAUCUGCCCUUGGCUUUGGGAUAACUACCGGAAACGGUGGCUAAUACCGGAUACGACGUACUCAGGCAUCUGAUGUGCGUGGAAAGUUUUUUCGGCCAGGGAUGUGCUCGCGGCCUAUCAGCUUGUUGGUGGGGUAAUGGCCUACCAAGGCUUCGACGGGUAGCCGGCCUGAGAGGUGACCGGCACACUGGGACUGAGACACGGCCCAGACUCCUACGGGAGGCAGCAGUGGGGAAUAUUGGACAAUGGGCGAAGCCUGAUCCAGC